RNAcentral lists this ribosomal RNA (468 nucleotides) under uncultured bacterium. Its description in RNAcentral is "partial 16S ribosomal RNA". It matches the Rfam family "Bacterial small subunit ribosomal RNA", at positions 28 to 507 of the family's 1533-position model. The record is from RNAcentral.
GACGAACGCUGGCGGCGUGCUUAACACAUGCAAGUCGAACGGAAAGGCCCUGCUUUUGUGGGGUGCUCGAGUGGCGAACGGGUGAGUAACACGUGAGUAACCUGCCCUUGACUUUGGGAUAACUUCAGGAAACUGGGGCUAAUACCGGAUAGGAGCUCCUGCUGCAUGGUGGGGGUUGGAAAGUUUCGGCGGUUGGGGAUGGACUCGCGGCUUAUCAGCUUGUUGGUGGGGUAGUGGCUUACCAAGGCUUUGACGGGUAGCCGGCCUGAGAGGGUGAACGGCCACCUGGGGCCUACGAGAGGGACCAGUGUCCAACGGGGGACAACGGGGGGAAGCAUGACACAGUGGGAGGGCGUGGGAGAAGGAGGCCCUCGGGGGGGAAAGACGGUUUGUGGGUAAAAAACAGCUUCCGCUUGAGACGAAGCGGUUGUGACGGUAACGAAAAAAGAAGCACGGGCUAACUUCGUG